RNAcentral lists this ribosomal RNA (460 nucleotides) under uncultured bacterium. Its description in RNAcentral is "partial 16S ribosomal RNA". It matches the Rfam family "Bacterial small subunit ribosomal RNA", at positions 338 to 795 of the family's 1533-position model. The record is from RNAcentral.
CCUACGGGGGGCAGCAGUGAGGAAUAUUGGUCAAUGGACGAGAGUCUGAACCAGCCAAGUAGCGUGAAGGAUGACUGCCCUAUGGGUUGUAAACUUCUUUUAUAAAGGAAUAAAACGAGGCACGUGUGCCUUUUUGUAUGUACUUUAUGAAUAAGGAUCGGCUAACUCCGUGCCAGCAGCCGCGGUAAUACGGAGGAUCCGAGCGUUAUCCGGAUUUAUUGGGUUUAAAGGGAGCGUAGAUGGGUUGUUAAGUCAGUUGUGAAAGUUUGCGGCUCAACCGUAAAAUUGCAGUUGAUACUGGCAGUCUUGAGUACAGUUGAGGUAGGCGGAAUUCGUGGUGUAGCGGUGAAAUGCUUAGAUAUCACGAAGAACCCCGAUUGCGAAGGCAGCUUACUAAACUGUGACUGACAUUGAUGCUCGAAAGUGUGGGUAUCAAACAGGAUUAGAUACCCGAGUAGUC